This 105-nucleotide unclassified non-coding RNA is filed under the name Rhodotorula toruloides. The record is from RNAcentral. Lineage: Eukaryota; Fungi; Basidiomycota; Microbotryomycetes; Sporidiobolales; Sporidiobolaceae.
CAGAGGCGGCGGGAGUGGCGGAAGAGGCAGGCUUUGCGGGCUCGGGUUCUGAAGGCAAGUCUUCGCGGAUGUCGAACAUGGCUGGACACAGCAGUUUCGACGCAC